Molecule: long non-coding RNA, 597 nt
Filed under: Brachypodium distachyon (stiff brome)
Lineage: Eukaryota; Viridiplantae; Streptophyta; Magnoliopsida; Poales; Poaceae
Description: long non-coding RNA (BDIS_LNC004671)
Source: RNAcentral
CCUAGGGACACAAAAUCCCAAAUUCCCAAAUCUUUUCGCAUCCUCUUUCUCCCGAAGCAACUGCUGCCGGCUGCACAGGCGAAGCCAUCACCGUCGAAGACUUGAUUGCCAUGCAAUGCACCAGAUUAUCGCCACUUAUGGAUUACUCCCUCCUUCCCAAUUUAAACGUCAUUUUAGACAUUUCUGAGAUAUAAGGAAGUUGCUGGGCAUCACUAGAUUAGCUGAACAAGGCAUUAGUGCAACUUCAAUGGAAGUCGAUACUAACUUUCAUCUCAUGGCUUCUCUUUCCUCUUACUUUUUUUUAUUUCCUUCUUUCUUCUAGUGGACUCACGUGUCAUCCUCUAUCCAUUCUUGGUACCUGUGCACAAGUUGUUAUUUCUGCAAGUAACUAGUAUUAUCUAUUUUGAGAUCUCUCUCCUCCACAUAGGACUAGUACCUGAUUAAUACCUCCAAUGGCAUCGAAAACCUCUACUAAUAAAGGAUCAGCAUGCAUGCGGGGAAGGGAUGGGCCUAGCACAAGCCCGACGGACUGCAUGCAGCGCCAUUUGAGUAGUAUUUAAAACGAUGAGGAGGAAUCAAAGCAUUUGCAUGCUGGCC